Molecule: ribosomal RNA, 1087 nt
Filed under: Ophiocordyceps irangiensis
Lineage: Eukaryota; Fungi; Ascomycota; Sordariomycetes; Hypocreales; Ophiocordycipitaceae
Description: SSU rRNA
Rfam family: Eukaryotic small subunit ribosomal RNA
Source: RNAcentral
UCAUAUGCUUGUCUCAAAGAUUAAGCCAUGCAUGUCUAAGUAUAAGCAAUUAUACAGCGAAACUGCGAAUGGCUCAUUAUAUAAGUUAUCGUUUAUUUGAUAGUGCCUUACUACUUGGAUAACCGUGGUAAUUCUAGAGCUAAUACAUGCUAAAAGACCCGACUUUGGAAGGGUUGUAUUUAUUAGAUUAAAAGCCAAUGCCCUCUGGGCUCAGUGGUGAAUCAUGGUAACUUCGCGAAUCGCAUGGCCUUGUGCCGGCGAUGGCUCAUUCAAAUUUCUUCCCUAUCAACUUUCGAUGUUUGGGUAGUGGCCAAACAUGGUUGCAACGGGUAACGGAGGGUUAGGGCUCGACCCCGGAGAAGGAGCCUGAGAAACGGCUACUACAUCCAAGGAAGGCAGCAGGCGCGCAAAUUACCCAAUCCCGACACGGGGAGGUAGUGACAAUAAAUACUGAUACAGGGCUCUUUUGGGUCUUGUAAUUGGAAUGAGUACAAUUUAAAUCCCUUAACGAGGAACAAUUAGAGGGCAAGUCUGGUGCCAGCAGCCGCGGUAAUUCCAGCUCUAAUAGCGUAUAUUAAAGUUGUUGUGGUUAAAAAGCUCGUAGUUGAACCUUGGGCCUGGCUGGCAGGUCCGCCUCACCGCGUGCACUUCGCCGGCCGGGCCUUUCCCUCUGUGGAACCCUAUGCCCUUCACUGGGUGUAGCGGGGAAACAGGACUUUUACUUUGAAAAAAUUAGAGUGCUCCAGGCAGGCCUAUGCUCGAAUACAUUAGCAUGGAAUAAUAAAAUAGGACGCGCGGUUCUAUUUUGUUGGUUUCUAGGACCGCCGUAAUGAUUAAUAGGGACAGUCGGGGGCAUCAGUAUUCAAUUGUCAGAGGUGAAAUUCUUGGAUUUAUUGAAGACUAACUACUGCGAAAGCAUUUGCCAAGGAUGUUUUCAUUAAUCAGGAACGAAAGUUAGGGGAUCGAAGACGAUCAGAUACCGUCGUAGUCUUAACCAUAAACUAUGCCGACUAGGGAUCGGACGACAGUCGUUUGUGACUCGUUCGGCACCUUACGAGAAAUCAAAGUGCUUGGGCUCCAGGGGGAG